Accipiter nisus (Eurasian sparrowhawk) is the source of this 108-nucleotide microRNA precursor. Ensembl annotates it as microRNA let-7c. Lineage: Eukaryota; Metazoa; Chordata; Aves; Accipitriformes; Accipitridae. The record is from Ensembl.
GAAGCUGUGUGCAUCCGGGUUGAGGUAGUAGGUUGUAUGGUUUAGAGUUACACCCUGGGAGUUAACUGUACAACCUUCUAGCUUUCCUUGGAGCACACUUGAGCCAUC